RNAcentral lists this long non-coding RNA (247 nucleotides) under Elaeis guineensis (African oil palm). RNAcentral describes it as "long non-coding RNA (EGUI_LNC050361)". Lineage: Eukaryota; Viridiplantae; Streptophyta; Magnoliopsida; Arecales; Arecaceae. The record is from RNAcentral.
GGACGGUCGGGGGGGUUUAGAGAGACGCCACACAAGGUCGGGAGCCGAAGAAGCCCUGGAAGGGUCAGUCUUUUACAAACUUUGGUCGGGGGGUAUUUUAUACCCAACACCAAUCCCCCUACUUCCGAGUUCAGGUUCUGAAUGAAGAAAGUACAAAAAAAUUUUCACGGCCGAAGUUACCCCCCUCGAUUACCGCACUCAGAGGUUACUAGAUAUUUUGGCGUUCGGCAUACUGGUACUAGAGCCU